RNAcentral lists this unclassified non-coding RNA (534 nucleotides) under Bombus terrestris (buff-tailed bumblebee). RNAcentral's name for it is "misc RNA ENSBTSG00005028986.1". Lineage: Eukaryota; Metazoa; Arthropoda; Insecta; Hymenoptera; Apidae. The record is from RNAcentral.
UAAAACAAAAAGCAAACAACAAAGAAAUCUACAACAUCAACCGGCUGAUGAACUCCAUAGUUAAGUUCGAGCCACCUCUUGUAAAGAAAGAAAUAGUACAAUGCAAAAGGUGCCAAAGGUACGGCCACACGCAGAAAUACUGCAAUCAUAACUUCCGAAAGACUACCUCCAAGCAACAAACGUAGCAAUAGAAGACUGUCAUGGUACAAUCACCACUUCAGCUGUAUACUGCCCUCCCAGAAGACACUCCAUCGCCAAAGAAGACUUUGAUAACUUCCUGGACACCCUGGGCAAUAGAUUCAUAGCUGGAGGAGACUACAACGCCAAACACACCCAAUGGGGCAGCAGACUGGUUACAGUAAGAGGCAAGAACCUCCUCAACAGCAUAAUAACCAACAACCUCAACUACCUUACCACAUACGAACCCACAUACUGGCCCACCGACACAAACAAAAUACCCGAUCUUCUUGAUUUCCUCAUAACUAAAAAUAUCUCGUCAAGACACGUCCAAAUCAAUUCCUCGGCUGAUCUCUC